UACGAAGGGGGGCUAGCGUUGUUCGGAUUUACUGGGCGUAAAGCGCACGUAGGCGGAUCUUUAAGUCAGGGGUGAAAUCCCAGAGCUCAACUCUGGAACUGCCUUUGAUACUGGGGAUCUCGAGUUCGGGAGAGGUGAGUGGAACUGCGAGUGUAGAGGUGAAAUUCGUAGAUAUUCGCAAGAACACCAGUGGCGAAGGCGGCUCACUGGCCCGAUACUGACGCUGAGGUGCGAAAGCGUGGGGAGCAAACAGG
RNAcentral lists this ribosomal RNA (254 nucleotides) under uncultured bacterium. RNAcentral describes it as "partial 16S ribosomal RNA". It matches the Rfam family "Bacterial small subunit ribosomal RNA", at positions 524 to 776 of the family's 1533-position model. The record is from RNAcentral.